Molecule: ribosomal RNA, 253 nt
Filed under: uncultured bacterium
Lineage: Bacteria
Description: partial 16S ribosomal RNA
Rfam family: Bacterial small subunit ribosomal RNA
Source: RNAcentral
UACGUAGGGUGCAAGCGUUAAUCGGAAUUACUGGGCGUAAAGCGCACGUAGGCGGCUUGGUAUGUCGGGUGUGAAAUCCCCGGGCUCAACCUGGGAACUGCAUCCGAAACUGCCUUGCUCGAGUAUGGGAGAGGGAAGUGGAAUUUCCGGUGUAGCGGUGAAAUGCGUAGAUAUCGGAAGGAACAUCAGUGGCGAAGGCGACUUCCUGGACCAAUACCGACGCUCAGGUGCGAAAGCGUGGGGAGCAAACAGG